AGAGUUUGAUCCUGGCUCAGGACGAACGCUGGCGGCGUGCCUAAUACAUGCAAGUCGAACGCACUCUCGUUUAGAUUGAAGGAGCUUGCUCCUGAUUGAUAAACAUUUGAGUGAGUGGCGGACGGGUGAGUAACACGUGGGUAACCUGCCCUAAAGUGGGGGAUAACAUUUGGAAACAGAUGCUAAUACCGCAUAAAACCUAACACCGCAUGGUGUAGGGUUGAAAGAUGGUUUCGGCUAUCACUUUAGGAUGGACCCGCGGUGCAUUAGUUAGUUGGUGAGGUAAAGGCUCACCAAGACCGUGAUGCAUAGCCGACCUGAGAGGGUAAUCGGCCACACUGGGACUGAGACACGGCCCAGACUCCUACGGGAGGCAGCAGUAGGGAAUCUUCCACAAUGGACGAAAGUCUGAUGGAGCAACGCCGCGUGAGUGAAGAAGGUUUUCGGAUCGUAAAACUCUGUUGUUGGAGAAGAAUGUAUCUGAUAGUAACUGAUCAGGUAGUGACGGUAUCCAACCAGAAAGCCACGGCUAACUACGUGCCAGCAGCCGCGGUAAUACGUAGGUGGCAAGCGUUGUCCGGAUUUAUUGGGCGUAAAGCGAGCGCAGGCGGUUUCUUAAGUCUGAUGUGAAAGCCUUCGGCUCAACCGAAGAAGUGCAUCGGAAACUGGGAAACUUGAGUGCAGAAGAGGACAGUGGAACUCCAUGUGUAGCGGUGAAAUGCGUAGAUAUAUGGAAGAACACCAGUGGCGAAGGCGGCUGUCUGGUCUGUAACUGACGCUGAGGCUCGAAAGCAUGGGUAGCAAACAGGAUUAGAUACCCUGGUAGUCCAUGCCGUAAACGAUGAG
This 846-nucleotide ribosomal RNA is filed under the name uncultured bacterium. RNAcentral's name for it is "bacterial SSU rRNA". It matches the Rfam family "Bacterial small subunit ribosomal RNA", at positions 8 to 813 of the family's 1533-position model. The record is from RNAcentral.